UCUCCACCAAACCCAUCAGAUGUUGUCGCA
RNAcentral lists this non-coding RNA (30 nucleotides) under Homo sapiens (human). The record is from RNAcentral. Lineage: Eukaryota; Metazoa; Chordata; Mammalia; Primates; Hominidae.